UCAAUGGUGAACAUAGUCUCUGUUUUCUGUUAUCACAUUAAAAUUCCAUCACCUGUAUUUUCUCUCUAGUUCUUUCUUCAAAAGGUAGAUUUAGCUGAUUGAAAGCUAUCAAUUCUCCUGCCAAAUCAUCACCACACCAUUUCAACUCUAUCAGGACAAAUAUUCUUCAUUCACUCAAGCUAUAUAGAAAGGCAUUGUAUUCUAUUCCUUUUUCUUAUUUCUGCUUGUUUAUAUUUCAUCAGGAAACAUAACUUUCCCCUGUUUUCUUUAACAUUUCUCUAAUUGUUCCAAAUCUAAAAUCUUCAUUAUCAUAUACCACAACUUAUUCUUUUUCUCUUUGUAGGAAAGUGUCUUUUGGCUCUUUAAGGGGAUGUAAAAGGGCAAUAAAUUCAGUGGAUAUACACACAGAAAAUAAGUUUUCAAAUACAUAUUUCCUAUGAAUCUUUGUUUUCCAUAGAGAUUCCUCCUUAGUGUCACAACAGAGCCACAUUUUCCCAGAGCAGAAAAUCACAUCAGGAAUCCUCUGAUAAUGUUAUGAAGAUGCUUGUAUGUUUUAUAAACCAGACAACAAUUAUGCCGAGGAGUGGAUUUGCAGCCUGAGUCCUCCUGCUCCUUUUGGUGUAAAUUUGAUGAAAGGUUAACCUUAGGCAGGAGAGAAGGCAGAAAACCACACUAAGCACUUCUUAGCAGGCAGGGCAGAAAGAACACGGACAACAUUAGGAGCUCUUCUCAUCUGUGCCUAGCGAUGGGUGACAUAUGACACACCUGUUGAAUCUUUUGGGAACUGGAAGAAUGAAAAGUGGAUAACGUGAUGAUCAGGUGUUCAAGAGAGUGUUCAAGAGAGUUUCAGAUGUAAUCCAGGACACGCAUCAAUGCACUAGCUCCACAAAGAAUGAGCCCUGGGUGAAAAAGCACGUGUCGGAAAAACAAACGGAUGUGCAGAGGCGUUAGAGGACCUGCUGUAGACAGAAAGCUUUCCCGAAUUCAUUUAUUCGUUCUAACAGUUUUUUGGCGGAGUCUUUAUGGAGGAAGUUGGGGCUUGCCCCGUGGCCAAGUGGUUAAGUUCACACUCUCUGCUGCAGGCGGCCCAGUGUUUCGUUGGUUCGAAUCCUGGGCACGGACAUGGCACUGCUCAUCAAACCACGCUGAGGCGGCGUCCCACAUGCCACAACUAGAAGGACCCACAACGAAGAAUAUACAACUAUGUACUGGGGGGCUUUGGGGAGAAAAAGGAAAAACUAAAAUCUUUAAAAAAAAAAUUAGGAAGAAGUUAAAGUUAUUUACAUAAUUCAUGUCAAACAUAAAUGUUCCUGGCUACAGAAUAAGUAAUUUUUUGUUUUGAUAAUUUAUACCAGUAUUUUUGUUGUUUGGUUAUAUAGUACAGCUUUGGUUGAGACUGAGUUACCACACUUGUUUUCAGGAACUAAAUAUGGAACAAUCAAAUAAUUCGUAAUCUUUAAUGUAAUUUUAGUUGAAAAAAUCAUUAAUGGUUUUAUCCAUAGGAUUUAUCAGAUACAAGUAACUACCAAACUCUAUUUCCUAUAGUGAUAUAUAGACCCAAUACUAAAUUUUACAAUAUGGACCUUGGAGUCAAGUGUAAAUUUUGUACUAAGUGCAUAGCUGUACAGGAUUCUUUAUCAACAAACUUGCUAUUGGUUUUGUAAAGUCCAGAAAAGAGAAUAUGUUCUUCUCCUAUAUCAUCUAUUAUUAUAUAUGGCCAGCCAAUUUCAAAUAUGGGAAACUAACUAUUUUUUGUGGCUUUAGAAGUUGUAUUGGUUAUGUUUCAUUUUUCAUGUGAAUGCUGACAUCAUCGUGAUCCUGCUACACAAACUGCUACCCUAAUUUCAAGCUCCAUUAGAAACAUGGGAAAUAUUGUAUUGCUUACAUUUAUAGAAUUGAGGAAAUACAGGGUUUCAAAUAAUAUAUAACAAAAUAAAGGGUAAUACUGUUCAGCUCUUGAAAUAUACAGAUUAUAUAUGUAAUGUAAUUUGCCUUUUCAUUAUUAUAUUUACAGUCCUUAGAAUUAAGUAAAUGUUCUAAAUAAAAUUAUUUUUUGAAAAUUUUCAGUGAUCAUUAUAUUUAGAAUCCCAGUAUUUUUGGUAAUAAUCCUGCACUUUGGGACAUAAAAAUAAUUUAAAAUAAAAGUUCACUUUUGAGUUCAAUAAUGAAUUGUUCAUGCGGAUGUAUCUCAGAAUGCAUAAUACAUUCUAGAGUGGGAAGAAGCUUAGACCAAAACUGUAAAAAUUAUAAUUCCUUUUAAGAUAUUUUCUACAAAAGUAUGUUUAUUCUUGAGCUGAUAACUUCCAAAUUUGCAACCCUCCAACCCUUACAUCUCACCUAAAGAUCAGAUUUUAAUAGAAAACCAGCAGCUUGUUAUCACUACAUAUGUUUCUGAUAGGUAUAUCAGACUGUGUGUGUCUAAACGGAAUUCUUGAUGUCUCCAUUCCACUCAUUUCAAAUAAUGUCACAUUUUGCUCAAAUAAAAAAUCCAGGCUUCUUCAUUUUCUCUCAGGAGUUAACAGGGGCAUUUCUAAUCUUUCUUAUUUUAAUAAAU
Molecule: long non-coding RNA, 2554 nt
Organism: Equus caballus (horse)
Lineage: Eukaryota; Metazoa; Chordata; Mammalia; Perissodactyla; Equidae
Source: Ensembl